UACGGAAGGUGCAAGCGUUGUCCGGAUUGACUGGGUGUAAAGGGCGCGUAGGCGGAGAGGUGUGUCGGGACUGAAAUCGUGCGGCUUAACCGUACAAUGGCUUUCGAGACUACCUCCCUUGAGUACAGAAGGGGUUGAUGGAAUACCUGGUGUAGCGGUUGAAUGCGUAGAUAUCAGGUAGAUCACCGGAGGCGAAGGCGGUCAACUGGUCUGUAAAUGACGCUGAGGCGGGAAAGUGUGGGGAGCAAACAGG
Molecule: ribosomal RNA, 253 nt
Filed under: uncultured bacterium
Lineage: Bacteria
Description: partial 16S ribosomal RNA
Rfam family: Bacterial small subunit ribosomal RNA
Source: RNAcentral